Molecule: ribosomal RNA, 515 nt
Filed under: uncultured euryarchaeote
Lineage: Archaea; Methanobacteriati; Methanobacteriota
Description: bacterial SSU rRNA
Rfam family: Archaeal small subunit ribosomal RNA
Source: RNAcentral
GCACUGCUAUCGGGGUUCGAUUAAGCCAUGCGAGUCGAGAGGGUUCGGCCCUCGGCGUACUACUCAGUAACACGUGGAUAACCUGCCCUAAGGAAGGGGAUAACCUCGGGAAACUGAGGAUAAUACCCUAUAGGUUACAGACGCUGGAAUGCCCUGUAACCGAAAGCUCCGGCGCCUUAGGAUGGAUCUGCGGCCGAUUAGGUUGUUGUUGGGGUAACGGCCCAACAAGCCGAUAAUCGGUACGGGUUGUGGGAGCAAGAGCCCGGAGUUGGAUUCUGAGACACGAAUCCAGGCCCUACGGGGCGCAGCAGGCGCGAAAACUUUACAAUGCGGGAAACCGUGAUAAGGGAACCUCGAGUGCCUGUACAUGCAGGCUGUCUGGGUGUCUAAAACACACCCAAAGAAAGGGCCGGGCAAGACCGGUGCCAGCCGCCGCGGUAAUACCGGCGGCUCGAGUGGUGGCCACUUUUAUUGGGCUUAAAGCGUUCGUAGCUGGGUUGUUAAGUCUCUUGGGA